GCCGGGGUAGCCAAGCGGUAAGGCGGCGGGCCGCAGACCCGUUUAUCGGGGGUUCAAAUCCCUCCCCCGGCU
This 72-nucleotide transfer RNA is filed under the name Sulfuracidifex metallicus. RNAcentral describes it as "tRNA-Cys". It matches the Rfam family "tRNA". Rfam says of the family: Transfer RNA (tRNA) molecules are approximately 80 nucleotides in length. Their secondary structure includes four short double-helical elements and three loops (D, anti-codon, and T loops). Further hydrogen bonds mediate the characteristic L-shaped molecular structure. tRNAs have two regions of fundamental functional importance: the anti-codon, which is responsible for specific mRNA codon recognition, and the 3' end, to which the tRNAs corresponding amino acid is attached (by aminoacyl-tRNA synthetases). tRNAs cope with the degeneracy of the genetic code in two manners: having more than one tRNA (with a specific anti-codon) for a particular amino acid; and 'wobble' base-pairing, i.e. permitting non-standard base-pairing at the 3rd anti-codon position. The record is from RNAcentral. Lineage: Archaea; Thermoproteati; Thermoproteota; Thermoprotei; Sulfolobales; Sulfolobaceae.